GAAAAGUUUCGAGAUGCAGUGAGAAAAAAAAACACCCAGACGCUCUACUAGGGUUUCAACCCUCUUCCUGAGGUUACCACCACCACACACGGAACAACACCACACACCGAUUCAACCGAUCAAAAACUCACAGAGACAUUCAGCAGUAAGUUGUAAACGAGGGGAAUAUUCAGUAAGGGAAGGGUGUGGGACAGACGCAUAUAAAAAAGAAAAGAAAUGGAAAAUGGUUGAUGGUGAUGAAUAAGAGGUUUCGUAUUCUCAGUCUUUCUCACACUCAAGAGGCAGGUUCUAAACGACGGGAAUAUUCAGAAAGGGAAAGAAAACACAAAAAGGAGAAAAGAAAUGGAAAAUGGAGCGUUUGAUGGUGAUCAAUAAGAGCUUUCUUAUUCUUAGUUUGUCUCACACUCAAGGUAAGAUUUUUAUAUUACCACUUACUCUAUAUAUGUCUUUUAAUGGAUCCAUUGCUCAAAUGAUACAAGCUGUUUUUGGCUGAAUUAUGGUCACG
This 505-nucleotide small RNA is filed under the name Vigna angularis var. angularis. Its description in RNAcentral is "Non-protein coding transcript". Lineage: Eukaryota; Viridiplantae; Streptophyta; Magnoliopsida; Fabales; Fabaceae. The record is from RNAcentral.